Molecule: long non-coding RNA, 384 nt
Organism: Neofelis nebulosa (Clouded leopard)
Lineage: Eukaryota; Metazoa; Chordata; Mammalia; Carnivora; Felidae
Exons: 2
Source: RefSeq, a predicted model, not a curated record
UUUUACAAAGGACCCCUGGUGCAGGAGUGGUGACUGAUAUGCAGAGGACAAUGCAGAAGGAAGUCAAUGCUCCCAGCAAAAGUCAGGCUCAGGAACUGGAGGCUCUUUGCUCCUUAGAUAAGAGAGGCUCCAUUUGAAUCAGGAUUCCAAAGGAAAAGCAAGGAUGUACAAUGCCUUCUAGAAGGAGUAUAAGGAGUGGACAUAUCCUAAUGCAGCUUCUCAUGAGAUAGCAAGAGGAACACAUCUUUGCCCCUAACAUCAGCAAGCUUGAGUGCCAGUGCCUUCAAAUAUCAUUGUUAUCAUGUGGUGUCAUUCUUAAUAAUGGCUAAUUGUUUACCCUGUACCUGCUAGGUAACAUGUCCUAAUAAAGGUUACAGAAUCUCA